CCAGUUGGUUCUGAAGUAUAUGUAUCCGACUUUCUACUUUUGAUUUCUGGUACCUCUUCUAGUGUGGUAUAAAUAGGAUCCUUUUUGUUGACGUACCAGUGAACUGAAAUGUCUGUUGUGCGACGUGAUAAUUAAAACCAAAUUAACUAGCUGUUACGCAGAAACAAUAAUCAAUAUAUGAUUCCUUGUACGGAUACUCAUAUAUGAAUCCGAUACACACUCUGGUCUAACAAUUGUAUUAUGAGAAUCACUUGGGGAUUAAAUACAACAGGGAUACGAAACCCUCCAACGUCGACUGUAGGAGCUGUUUUUAUGGAGGAAUUGUUAGCAAGGGCGAAAAGAAAUGAACUUUAACAAAGAGACGAGAUCCACGUUCCUAGACCCUAUCCACAUAAAUCAAGACGUUACCGCUACUGUGUACAUUUAAUUUGGUAAACAACAAACAUACAACCUAGAAGGAUUUUUGGUCUACUACAUAAAAAGUGUCCUUUAUUUGAAACAUAACAGUUUGAAUCAACUUAUUGAGGGUCUAAAAUAGAUGAAGUGACAAAAACACUGUGAGUAUCCGACAAACUAUUAUCCGGAUUUUUGGAUCUACAGACUAUUAUCCGGAUUUUUGGUUCUACAAACUAUUAUCCGGAUUUUUGGUUCUAUUUGACUACAAAAGUGUGGAAACGAAACGUAGACAAAACUGGUCUUCUUUAACGAAUGUCUCAUGGAAAGAAUGUUUUGGAAAGGAGACGUUAACAUAAUUCAAUGAAAACUAUGGUUUGAAAACAAGAUUGGAGUAAUCGUUUGGACUACUGGACUAGGUUAAUGAAUGGACACAUUUCACGUUUGAACACACGAGUGAUGGAUAAGAAGAGAAUGACCUCUACGUAAGUGGACGCAAGGUAAGUUCUUUGUCUAUCUACAAUGAUUAAGAUAGGUACCACUAACGUCCGUAUCAAUUGAAUAGGAAACACAUCAUACUAAUAAUAUGUGUGAGAAAAGUAAAGACAAAAGGGGAGGAUUCGGUAAAUAAGACAGAUGGCGUCCAACGAACCACAGGAGAGUAGCACAGAUAACCACGUCAUAGUGUAUAGGAGAGAGCUUCUCUACUCUAUUCCUAAUGUCCCGAUGGUUGUUGGGUGGAGUGGAUAUUACCUUCUGUAGGACUAAGUAACAACGUUCGAUCUCUUGUUAUUGAUAGUACAACCACUAAAGGAACUAUAUACCAAGAUGUGCACACAGUAUACCUGGUUACUUUCGUUUCUAUAACGCCUCUAUUAUUGAUAUACCCGAUGAGGUUUACCUCACCGUCACCUUGGUUGUGGAAAAUAUCCGGAAGUUCAUGGACACACCUUCAGAUGGUACGUUCGUAAUAGGCUGCUGAUUGUGAAACGAAUACACAUGUAUAGGAGACUUCUGGUGUUGGCCUGAUUCUUCUACAGAUUUAUUCGACACUCCGACGGAUAUAUAUUCAGAUAAAGACAUUUAACUAUAGUCAAUAAGAUGAUAGACAUUUGGUUAAAUUCAGUAAGAUAACAGA
This 1531-nucleotide ribosomal RNA is filed under the name Triticum aestivum (bread wheat). Its description in RNAcentral is "partial small subunit ribosomal RNA". Lineage: Eukaryota; Viridiplantae; Streptophyta; Magnoliopsida; Poales; Poaceae. The record is from RNAcentral.